RNAcentral lists this ribosomal RNA (383 nucleotides) under uncultured bacterium. RNAcentral's name for it is "bacterial SSU rRNA". It matches the Rfam family "Bacterial small subunit ribosomal RNA", at positions 28 to 398 of the family's 1533-position model. The record is from RNAcentral.
GACGAACGCUGGCGGCGUGCCUAACACAUGCAAGUCGUGCGAGAAAGUUCCUUCGGGAGCGAGUAAAGCGGCGCACGGGUGAGUAACACGUAGGUAACCUGCCCCCCAGUCUGGAACAACUAGAGGAAACUCUAGCUAAUGCCGGAUGAGACCACGAUCCCUUCGGGGUUGCGGCCAAAGAUGGCCUCUACUUGUAAGCUAUCGCUGAGGGAUGGGCCUGCGGGCCAUUAGCUUGUUGGUGAGGUAACGGCUCACCAAGGCUGUGAUGGCUAGCUGGUCUGAGAGGAUGACCAGCCACACUGGGACUGAGACACGGCCCAGACUCCUACGGGAGCAGCAGUGGGGAAUAUUGCGCAAUGGCGAAAGCCUGACGCAGCGACGCC